Molecule: long non-coding RNA, 1071 nt
Organism: Lotus japonicus
Lineage: Eukaryota; Viridiplantae; Streptophyta; Magnoliopsida; Fabales; Fabaceae
Exons: 5
Source: RefSeq, a predicted model, not a curated record
ACGAUUUUUUCUGGUUCCGUCCCUGGUCCCCUCCGCCGCCUCCUCAUCGAUCUCAACGGCACCACCAACACCACCUUCCACAUUGACGUCCAAUUCAAACUCCGAGAAUGAAGGUUCGCGAAGGUGAUAACGAACACAAUUUGGCAUCGAGGUUUGCAUGAAGAUGACGGAGAUCGCGUGAAGGUGAAGGUGCUCUCUGUUUCUUGCUCAGAAAUUCUGGAUGAUUGAGUUUGAGAGUUCAUUUUUCUUGCGGAUUCUGAAAUUACCUUACGCAAUGCCACUGGAUUAUCUGAAACGUGUUGAAGUUGUCAGGAGGCUGAAUUGCUCGUCCCCGUUUUGCUUGUUACGCCGAAAUUCAAUUUUUUUGGCAUCGAGGUAUGCGUGAAGGUGAUGGAGAUCGCGUGAAGAGGUAGCAUUGAGAUUGGCAACUUGGAAGCACCUAUUGGCAUCUCGGCUUGUAUGAUGUGGGAUUUGAUUUCCCUAACAUGUCUAUUUGCACCUACUGAGCUUCCGGUUCAACGAGCUAUCCUUCUUCUGCAGGUUUCUUCUUCCUCUUUUGUUAUGGUUGAUUUUACUUAAAGAUGAUGGAUGUGUGUUAUGAGUGGAAGACAGCCAGAGGGAUUCCAAAUUGCCAUAUGGGGUUCUUAUACCUGAAUUCUUCUGGCCGAAUCGAAGACUGACUUAAAGAUGGAAUGGAAAUGAGGAUUUUUAACGACUGACUCUUUUAAGCCACUAAGAUUCGUACAAAGUUCCUGAAGUUCCUGAGAAUGUCAAGAGGUAGCAUUGAGAUUGACAACUUUGAAGGCAUCUAUUGGCAUCUAGGUCUGAUGUGGGAUUUGAUUUCCUGACAGUUGAUGAGCGGCCCCUUGUUACUUUCAAUGCUAUUUUUAUUUCAUAGGUAUAGACAUAGUUCAUUCUGUUGUUUAUAUGAGUAAUUUUCUGAAGAUAUAUUAUUGAAAGGAACAUUGCACUUUUCUGGGUUUCUACUCUAUUUUUGAAGCUUUGUAGUUUCGAGGACGAAACUUUUACAUAGAAACUUUAACAAGUACUAGAUUAUAGCAAUCUCUUAUG